CCUACGGGAGGCAGCAGUGGGGAAUAUUGCACAAUGGGGGAAACCCUGAUGCAGCAACGCCGCGUGAGUGAAGAAGUAGUUCGGUAUGUAAAGCUCUAUCAGCAGGGAAGAAGAAAGACGGUACCUGACUAAGAAGCCCCGGCUAACUACGUGCCAGCAGCCGCGGUAAUACGUAGGGGGCAAGCGUUAUCCGGAUUUACUGGGUGUAAAGGGAGCGUAGGCGGCGAUGCAAGUCAGAAGUGAAAGACCGGGGCUCAACUCCGGGACUGCUUUUGAAACUGUAUGGCUAGAUUGCAGGAGAGGCA
This 305-nucleotide ribosomal RNA is filed under the name uncultured bacterium. Its description in RNAcentral is "bacterial SSU rRNA". It matches the Rfam family "Bacterial small subunit ribosomal RNA", at positions 338 to 659 of the family's 1533-position model. The record is from RNAcentral.